This 253-nucleotide ribosomal RNA is filed under the name uncultured bacterium. RNAcentral's name for it is "partial 16S ribosomal RNA". It matches the Rfam family "Bacterial small subunit ribosomal RNA", at positions 524 to 776 of the family's 1533-position model. The record is from RNAcentral.
UACGUAGGCAGCGAGCGUUGUUCGGAGUUACUGGGCGUAAAGCGUGCGCAGGCGGUUCGUUGUGUCGGCGGUGAAAGCCCCGGGCUUAACCUGGGAAUGGCCGUUGAAACUGGCGAACUGGAGUGUGGCAGAGGGGGGUGGAAUUCCGCGUGUAGCAGUGAAAUGCGUAGAGAUGCGGAGGAACACCAAUGGCGAAGGCAGCCCCCUGGGCUAACACUGACGCUCAGGCACGAAAGCGUGGGGAGCAAACAGG